RNAcentral lists this unclassified non-coding RNA (391 nucleotides) under soil metagenome. Its description in RNAcentral is "partial contains 5.8S ribosomal RNA, internal transcribed spacer 2, and large subunit ribosomal RNA". The stretch from base 1 to 122 matches the Rfam family "5.8S ribosomal RNA", at positions 35 to 154 of the family's 154-position model. The record is from RNAcentral.
GAUGAAGAACGUAGCGAAAUGCGAUACUUGGUGUGAAUUGCAGAAUCCCGUGAACCAUCGAGUCUUUGAACGCAAGUUGCGCCCGAAGCCAUUAGGCCGAGGGCACGCCUGCCUGGGCGUCACACGUCGUUGCCCCCCCAUCUACUCCUUCGGGAUUGCGGGGGGCGGAUGAUGGCCUCUCGUGCGCCUCGUCGCGCGGUUGGCCUAAAUGCCAAGUCCUCGGCGACGCACGCCACGACAAUCGGUGGUUGCGAAACCUCGGUUGCCUCUCGUGUGCGGUCGUCGCGCAUCGAGGGCUCGAAAAAAUUGCCGGGCUUCGGCUCGACUUUCAACGCGACCCCAGGUCAGGCGGGGUUACCCGCUGAAUUUAAGCAUAUCAAUAAGCGGAGGA